AAGUCAGCAUGACCUUUAUAUCCAGGGCUACACACACGCUACAAUGGUCUGUACAAUAGGUUGCCAAGCCGCGAGGCGGAGCCAAUCCUAAAAAGCAGGCCUCAGUUCAGAUUGCAGUCUGCAACUCGACUGCAUGAAGUUGGAGUUGCUAGUAAACGCAGGUCAGCUAUACUGCGUUGAAUACGUUCCCGGGGAUU
RNAcentral lists this ribosomal RNA (197 nucleotides) under uncultured Anaerolineaceae bacterium. RNAcentral describes it as "partial 16S ribosomal RNA". It matches the Rfam family "Bacterial small subunit ribosomal RNA", at positions 1187 to 1378 of the family's 1533-position model. Lineage: Bacteria; Bacillati; Chloroflexota; Anaerolineae; Anaerolineales; Anaerolineaceae. The record is from RNAcentral.